GUGAUCCUGGCCGUCUGUCCUGGGGACACAGACACUGACUGUGGCUGAGUCACAUCAUAGGAGGCCGCAGAGCCUGCAAAGGAAAAGAAAGAAAAAAAGUAGAGGUUAACUUGCAGGGGAUAUAAAGUCCUUUCUAUGGGAUAGAGUUUGGCUGUGGUUCAAGAGGUUGCCAGAGUCACAGUGGUGAAAGGGGAAUUAUCUGGGGUCCACAGUCCCCUCAUCCAUUCCAUCCUUGCUAAGGAGGUAGGUGGUUAGCUUUUUUCUGCUUCUCUAAUAAUGUCCUGAUUAUAAAUAUUUUAUGUCAGACAUGAGACGUACGGUAUAGGCGAAAUCCGUUUUGAAGUCACAUUCGAGAGCCCAAUGCAGGGACCCUCUUCAUUCUCACUCAUGUCCAAGACACAUCCAGAGCCCAAUGCAGGGACCUUUUCAUCUCCCUCAGGGGACAGCACAAGCCUUGGAUAGGUGCAGGCCCCACUCCAGGGCACAGCACUUUUGUCCUAGAGGAGAAUGCAAUCCUUGGUUGCCAAGGGCACACAGAAUUUUGGAAGAUCCAUGGGAUGCAGUAAGUUUCUGCCUCAGCUGUGAGUUCUAGUGUCAAGUCAUGGGUGCUGUGCCUCAGUAUCCCCAGGGUGCUGUCAGGACCAGGGACAGAUCAGGAGGCAAAGGAAAUUUUUGCUUCAUGAGAGAAUGAGAGGGGGCUGCAAACCCCAAGGCCCAGGAAACGAAUGUUUAUUAUAACUAAGUUGUCUUCAGUUGCUGGGAAAAUGUAUGGAUGUAUACAAACUUCAGUCAACAAAAGAUUACUGAGUAAGUGUUUUGUGCUCAUAAGGAAAUCAAGAAAUGUGAAUUGGCAGGUUCCCCAGAACAGAGUCGGGGAAGACUGGGAACAGUGGACGUUGAGGGGUAGCCAGGGAAGGAGAAGCCGCUGUGUCUGCAGGAUAAGGGCUCCCCAAGCAAGGGCAGGGAUGUGGGACACGUGUGAAUACAGGAUGGGAUGACAUGUGUGACUGUGAGAUGGGGGCCAGGGCGAUGGGAAGAGGCAAAGUGCCUGAAUCUGUGUCGGUAAAAUAGGAUCGUCUCCAAGAGUCAGAUCUGAGAACCAGGAAGUCAGAAUUUAAACAUCGGUGUCAGGGACAAAUACUAUAAGAAAAAAGGAACUUCAUUCCCUCCGGAUCUCAGGUCGUGGUCGCUGACCCUCCCAGUAUGUGAACAUCUCCGUGAUGCCAGGCCCACCCCAUCCAGAGGUGUUUUUGUCAGGUUACUCUCUGCUGCCCCCUCGUGGCCACCUACGCUGGCUACUGGAGGCUCAGGGCCCUCCUGGGUACAGGUGUUGCUUCAGAUUCUGCUGCUCAAGUCCCUGAUUCCUUCAUUCAUGGACUGCUGACCUCAGGGAAGAAAUUCCUCUUCUCUGUGUGGCCCCUUCCUGCCUCAAGACCCAGCACAAGGCGCUCAAGAUUCCUGAUGGAAAUACAAACACUUUAUGUAGUAGUGGAGGUUCCAGGUGUCCUAAAGUGCAUCAGGAGAAACAUCGGUUGAAGCAGAAGGCAGAGAAAUGUCACCUAUGGUAUGACUUUACCCAAGAGCCACACAAGGUAUUUUCUCAUGGAGCAAAUAGAUGAUACUCACACGCAGGUGACCUUGCACAGGUAUGACUGAGUCAUUCCAGGUCAGAUAUGAGCUGAGCAAGUUUGCUUCCCAGUGACCAAGGUGGUUUCUGUCCCGCUCACCCCUCUGAGAAGCUCCCUCUUUGCUCCUGGUUCUUCCUGCUGGGAAGAUGCUCUUUUUUGGGGGAAAUGCAGAGCUCGGCCUAUCAUGGGAGAAUGAAGGGAUCUCGUCUGUGAGCUUUGAACCUCCCAGACUCACAGGUCCUUAUUCUUCUCUGGAUGCAAAAUUAUCAGGCAGCAGAAUAACAGAGCAACGGCCUCUUACCUGACCCAGGUUAUGCUGAAAAGGGUUUCCUAGUGCAAAUCUCCCAGACGGUCUCCAGGAGCCUGAGACUGGCUGAGUCAGUCCUCACUGAGGCCCAAGCAGCAGGGAAACGUGUGAAGCUUCCCUCUUAUGUCGUGGUUCAUCCAAAGAUUGAGUUUUCUUUGAAAUUCCAAAAUCCUGUCUCUUGAAAUUCGGAGCCUUGCAGAGAUGUGUUCACUGCUUCAAGUGGUGGAAAAGUCUCCAGAUGGAGGAGUUCCUGCAUCCAUCUGCACUUUCAAAAGUCUGUAAUUUAGAGGUCAGGCAUGUUUGUAGAGCAGAAGCUGUAAUAAAGUAGGUGUGGAAGAGUAUGUUAGAUAAGCAAGGGAGAUGGUGAGAGAGACCAUGAAAGCUUCCCAAUCCCCCUCACCUCUAACCCACAUGGUUCACAUCUCCCAGGAACAUACAGAUGAGGGGGCCAUGGACAGCAGAGACUGAGAGCUGGAAAUUCCAUAUUUGGGACCACAGGUUUCUUCAUCUUCCUGUUCCACCAGCAGAUCUAAUCCCCUUAUGCACAUCAGAGAUAAGGUGUCCUCAGCCACCAUCUAUCCCUCCAUGUGACUGAGGGUCCAACAGCUAUGAAUGACCUUUUUCUUGAGAAUCAAAUUUGGAUGUAGACUCAGCAGUGGAUAUGGUCCUCCCAAGCACAGGGAUCAUUCACAGUGAGCAGCACAGAAUCUGCCCCAUGGGCACACUGUGCACGGCUCCACAGCACACCCAGUUUAGCCCUACUGUGUGGAAACAGUGCUGCUGCCAACAGUGAACAAUGUCAUCAUGGGGGGUACUUUUUACAAAACUCUUCACAAGACUUGACAAAGGAUGCUGGUUUAGAAAUGCUGCCUGGAGACACCUGACCAUCAAAUAUGAACAUGAAGUUUGAGUAUUCUCCCUGACAACAAAUUAACAGCUUCAAUAGACAUUCCUGGAAAACUGGAAAUGUGUGACUUUGGACCAGACAGGAGAUCACUGUUAAUCAAAGAAAGAGUGAGAGAGACAAACAUAUAAUUGUAGCAUACAGAACAGAGAAAAUUGUGCUUAGUACAUAAUUCUUCCAUUUUUAACAGUUCUCUGCUUUCAAAAUUAAACUAGUAUUACCUUGCUUCCAGAGUAUGCAAUAUUUUUAUUAUGGUAAAAUAAACAUAACAAAAUAUUUCAUCCUUUUAUUCGUGUUUAAGUAUGUAAUUAAGUGGCAGUUAGUACAGUAGAAGUGUUGUGCAGUCAUCACCACUAUCUAACCCCAGAGCUUUUUCAUCAGUGCACACAAAACCUCUGUAUCUAUUAGACAGCUACUUUAGAAACUUUGGACAUUGUGGACAAAAUGACAAGUCUGUGAUAAAAAGAAAAUCCCAAGGAUGAACCAAAGACGGUGUUAGCACUUCAACCCCAGCUUCUGUGAAAUCUCAGCACAGUAGUGGGGGUAUUCCUCAUCUGGGAACCCGGAUGAGACGCAGUCCCUGGGGCCUUUUCUGGGCUGUUUCUUCCCAAGGAGCAGAGGAAUUUCAACAGGACUGUGACCUCUGAGACAGCUCUCUCCUCUCUGACAGUACAUGUGAUUAAAUCUGGGGUCCUCAUUUUCAGUUCACUGAACUGAUCUCUACAAUAGUUGAAGGAUCCUGGAAGAUGAAUUUGGAUUUGUACAGAUCCAGACAGGCAACAGUGGCAUUUGCAGUAUCUGUGCCAGAUGGGGAUCUCCUGGAACAGAAUGCUAUGGCUGCAGGUGCACAGUUACACCAUUGAAGCAGAUACUGAAUUCUUGUCUAUUCCCCUCAGAGACUAGGAUCAGAAUCAGUGUGCAUUCAUGUGGGAUGGACAACCGUAUACAUUCACACUUUUUCUGCCGAGCAUCAUUAGCUCUGCCUUCCCUGUCAUGAUAUCAUUAUGGGGGUUCAGACCAUCUGGACAUCAGAGUUGAAUCAGAUGUACAUCAUGGGCACGGCCUAUUGGAAGGUUUUGGGAGAUCCGCGCACUUUUGAGAGUGGGAAAUAAACUAAGAUGUUUCCUCUUUCAUAUUAGCUGAAAUUGGGAGUUUAGUUGUCUGGAGCAGCUGAGACUCUCCUACAACAUAAACAACAUGUUAUUAUACCCUUCAAUUCCUUCCAGGAAGAGAGAGACACAAGGUCUAUAAAGGUCUAGGAGUAGCAUAUUUUACACUUGGGGAUGUGACUCUGACCCAUAUCUCAGGAGCCAUAAAUAUUACCCAUUGUUUUCCAGGCUGAGAGCAUUGAGGCUCUGCAGCAGGUGCAGGCAGGGUUGUGAGUGCCCUGCUGUUGGGACCAGAGAAUCCAGCUGACUCUACCGUGGUAACUGAAACCUUCUGCACAUGGUAAACCCCACUGGAGAAUCCCAAUGUAGACUCCAGGGGUUUGGGAAGAAGGCCAUGUCAUGUGCAGUAGAGUAUUACUUCCCUUUGGAAAAACAGCUCCUCUUGUCUUACUGGGCCCUGGGAGAGACAGGAUAACACUGGACAUCAAGUGACCAUGUUGCCAAAACUGCCAGAUCCCCCCAGUUGUGAGCUCAGACAGGCUAGCAGUGAUCUCUGGUGAGAUGAAUGUGACACAUCUAAGGCAGAGCAGGGUCAGGGCUCCAGGACUCAGUCACCUGCAUAAACAGCUGGUCUACAUUUGUGUUCUCAUUUCCCUUCCACCAGUGCCUCUCCCUGGCUUCACACAUAUGUCUUACGGGUGGAGAUGGGGCUGAAGCAGGUUACUCCACAGCACUUGUCACGUUAAGGGGUAAGAUGAGACCAGCAUUGUACAAUCACAACUAGACUACUGUCUAGUCACCAUAUUAGACAUAAAAAAUAAAAAGGUAAAUCAGUUUCAAUAAUAUACUGUAUUUAACACAAAGUGUGACAAAUAAUAUUUACACAUGAACACAAUCUAAAAUUAUUUACGAGAUAUUUUAUGGACAUUUUCAUAGCUACUGUUACCAUUAUUAUUUUGGGGAGAUUCUUUAUGUUGGGAUUGUGUGGUUGAUGGAGGUUUGAAGGAGUCUGACUAACAAGGGUGACCUGUGCUGGCUUCGUAAGUGUCAACUUUGAUAAGCUGAAGGAGGGAUGAAAGCGUGAUUAUUUGUGCAUUAUGUGCAGGGUGGAGGUGAGCAGCAUCCAUCCUACAGCUGCCCCUGUGGGUGCAUCUCUGAUCUCUGCAUGGGGUGAUGGUGCUCCCCUUUCAGUGGAUUGCUUGCAGGAGAAUCAGACUCUACCUCUCCUUCAGGACUCCUAGAACCUUGUAUGUCAGGCUCCAUUUUCAUUUUCUAAGAAUACAAGGAACACUCGGAUAUAAAUGGCCAUUUGGGUGUUCACAAUGGAAAUUUGGUAAAUUUGCUCGUGUUUCCACAUCAGGUCUAUGGUAGUUCAUUUUGGUGACAGCUGGCCAUCUUAGUUUGGGUUCCCUGGAAGAAGACUCUGAGAUAAGGAUGUGCAUGCACAGAAGAUCUGGAAGGAGUGAGGGAGGCAUCACCCGCAGAAGGAGACCCUGGCCCACAAUAGGGUUGCAACGGAGGCCUCAGGCAUCCACGAUGGGAGGUCUGGAGCUGGAAGGCCUUUCAGUGUCAUCCUGUAUUAAGACAGGGACUUGGGUUCUUGGCUCAGGCAGUCAUCAAAUUAAAACUCUCAAAACUGGGUCUAAAUAUGAGGAAGGAAGUUUUCUGGAACUAAUAGCACUUCCCAGUGAGGGCACAGUUCUGAGCUCCUAGAAGCUCCCAGCAGUUGAGGGUGGCUGAGCUCAGAAAAGGGUAUUGAGGCUGAUCCCACAGUGUCCCCUCCUCUGCUUUUCUUGUUCAAGAUCCCAGGCUGCCGUGGAAGCCUGGAACCUCAGGUGUUGAGCUGAGGUGGACAGUUUUGGGGACUGAGGUAGGCUGUUUGGAAGAAGUGACCCAAUCACCAUCAUGUGGAAAUCUAAGGCCAAGUGAUGUUUCUCUACAUCUCUCUCAUCUUCCAUCCAGUUCUUACUUCCCCAAAUCACUCCAGAGGCCUAAAAACACCAUAAAUUCUGAUUAUAGCAGCCCUAAAUCUACUCCUGAUCCACCCUCUCCAGAGCCAACCUGGUUGGCUGGAUGAAAGGAUGGCCUGGAGGUCUCAGAUCCAGUAGAACUCGGCCAGACCUGCUCAUGGCUUGGUCCACAGUCUUCCUGGUGCUGGAGGAAGAACAUGACACAGAUGAAAAAGGGGUUUGUGUCUCACUUCUCCAUCUGCCUGUGUCACUGUGGGAUUGUUCUCAUUCCCAGAAAAACAGUAAUAGUCAGCCUCGUCUUCACUCAGGCUGCUGCUGAUGGUCAGGGUGUUUGUGUCCCCUGAGGUGGACCCAGAGAAUUGCUCAGGGAUUCCAGAGGGUCGCUUACUAUCUUCAUGUAUCACCAGCACAGGGGCCUGGCCGGGCUUCUGCUGGUACCAGUCAGCAUAAUUUUCCUUCAGUACAUCUCCAGAGCAGGUGAUCCUGGCUGUCUGUCCUGGGGACACUGACACCGAGGGUGGCUGUGUCAGCUCAUAGGAGGCAACAGAGCCUGCAGGAGAGGACAGGAGAGGGGGCUUGAAGAUAACAAACCCAUUCCAGUGGUGUCACCCUGGGGCUCUGCCUGGGCUGAGCUCAGGGUUCCGGGCAGGACAAGCUCAGAGGCUUAAGAGGGCUGAGCCUGGGGCAGGGCCUGGGGGCAGCACCUGUGUAGAGGGUGAGGAGCGGGAGCAGGAGUGUGGUCCAGGCCAUGGUGAGACACCCAGAACUCUGCCUCCUGAGCCUGCAGCACAGCUGGGCUCCCCAGUCCUCUCUUAUUUCCUCUCAGGUCCACUGGAGCAGUGCAUCCUUGGUGUUUAUGCAAAUUUACUUCUCUGGGACUCCUCAUGGUGGGAUAUCUGUCAAGCCAGCUCUGGGGCAGCACAAGAAAGUAAGAAAGAAGGAAUGAGUCCCCAACUUCCUUCAUCUGCUUCUCUAGUCAGAAAAUCAGCUUUGGCCUCCGAGGCCUGUGAUCACAGUCACCUGCCUGGGUAUUGACAACAUGGUUGCUGUCUCAAACCUCUGUGUCAUGUGAUCUCUCCUAGGCUGCAUUGAGCAGGGCUGUAGACCUUCCAGGAGCCUGGUCUGGGGCUGAGCUGGGCCCUGCUGAGAGAUCAUUGAUGACACCUGACUCAGCAGCAAGUGCACCAAAGAUGCGUCAUCUUUCUCCUCUUUCAUCUCCGCUCCGGAUGCCCCAGAAUCACUUGGCCCCAUCCUGGGUCCCCGGGUCAUGGUCUCUGCACAGGACAUGAGCUCCAGAAGGUGUGUGUUCAGUAGUUCCUCCAGCCAUGCGGAUCCUGUCACUGAUCAAGGGACAGCCCUGUGAUGAGAGCUGUGGACUGGGGCAGUGUUUGUGUCAGGAGGAUUUCUUCACUAGCCUAAUCUGUCUUCCUGACGAAACUGGGAUUCUUCUGCUUAUUCUCAGAUGGGGACCACUGUUCCUACCAUACAGAAAACAAGCUCUUUUUGACCACCUUUCUUGGGAUUCCUGCAGAGGAAUGACCUGGCCUUGCUUGGGACUUCCUGGUGCUGGGAGGAGAUGCCCAGUUCUGCAGAAACAGUCAGGACAAUCUGCUCGAGAUUGGCAAUUAGUUUUUGUCCUGUGGCAUGGACAAGUCUGGGGUCAGAGCCGUGGCCUGAGGCAGAGCACCUCAACCUCGGACGUCUCCCAGGGAAUCCCCUUCCUGAAGAAGCUGCCCAAGUUGACACCUGGGUUCAGCCUCCUCCAGCUGCAUUUCCCAGGUGAGGUCUUCACUGUGCCAGGCUUCUGUCAGUGUUCUGAGCUGACACCACUUGAGUCUGAUCCUUGGAACAUGGUCACUGCAGCCCGAAGGGAUGGGAUGAACUGUCUUCACUUUCAGUCUGAAGACUGAUUCUUGGACACCUGUUGAACCCCAGGCUGACCUUCCUCUUUGCCCCAGCUGGGCAGCCCCAGCCUCUCUCCUGACUGCUCCUGGCUGCAGCUCUGCUGACCCCAGUUGGUGGAGGAGACUCAGCCCAGGAGUUUUUUUCCUUCCAGGUGACCCAACAGCACCUGUCACCUCAGAAGUUGAAGACCAGAGAGUCCAGCUCCAUUCUGUGCCAGUGUGACCCAAUCUGCCCUGCCCAGUCCAGCACAGAGAGGUCACACAUGCGGUACAGUGAGGCGGUGCAGGUGAAAUUGCUAUAAAAGUGUCUCAGGGUUGAAAUGUCCUCCUCUAAUGGGUUUGUUCGGUCAGGACUUAUUAGAGUGAGUCAACUGAAGCUCUUCUGCAAUACUUUCAAAGUCCAGAGAGACGUGCAUGCCAUCCUACAGGGACGCAGCCCUUCUAUGCACUAAGGAAGCAAAGUGGUGCACCUCCCACCAGUAAGAGCAGCUAUGACUCACUGCCAUCAUCUGAUGUUUCCGGUUCUGCAGCUUAGUUAUGAGCUAACAUCACCAUCGUCGGCAUAUUAAUUUCAUGUUUAUCUUUAUUUCAUUCCACACCUCUCAGAGCUUGUGCCGGGAGGAUUUCUACCUUAGCCUGGUCUGUCUUGAUGAUGAAACUGGGACUCUCCUGCUUAUACUCAGUUCGGGAACGUAGUUGACAUCAUACAGAAGGCAAGCUCUUUUUGAGUCUCUUUCUUGGAACCCUGCAGAGGAAAGACAGAAGUUCCAUGGCUGAAGCCCAUUGGAGCCCAUUAAAAGACAGUCCCCUCAGCAGGCUUUAAUUCACAUGACUCAUUGUUUUUCUAUCUUGUAAUUUUGAAUGAAGAAAAGAGCUUCUUCACUUCAGUAUAAGCCUCCUCACUUCACAGCAGGUAACACUGAGGCCAAAAGAGACUAAGUGGCUCAGGAGAACAGAGAGCAGUGGGGGCAAAUCCAGGAGCUGACCCAGGUGUCCUGAGUUCUGAACCUAGGCCCUUUGAGGUGGAGCUUAACCAGGGUAAGGAGGGAGGGGGCAUGAUGGCCAGGCAGGCAGCAUGGCUGUGUCCCAUGGACAAACUUCCAUCCCCUAUCAUGGCCUGGGCAUCCUGAGAAGCCCACUUCAGCCUGCAGAAUGUGGGGGUUGUACGCAGGCUAGAGUUGGAGAAUCUGUGGGGAGUUGGGGCUGCUUUGGAUGCAGGGCCUGGCCUGGCUCCUGCUGGUUCUCUCUGCACUGUUGCCUGCUCCACUGUCUCCUGAGAAGGUGGGGGACAGGUGUCUCAUGGCCAGCUCUCCUGGGGGUAGCUGGGUCUUUACGAGACCACAGAGGAUUCAGGUUAAGGAGGCUUUGGGACUCAUUCUCAGGAUCCCAUCUCCUGAAGCAUCACCUGGGCUGAGCUCAGGGUAAGGACUAGGCUUAGGGUCCUGUGGGGGCUUAGCCUGGGGCAGCAUCUAUGCAAAGAGUAAGGAGAGGUAGCAGGUGAUGGGCCAAGGCCAGGGGGAGACAUCCUGGAGUUUUGUCUCUGGAACCCAUAGCUGAGGCUGGUUCCCAUCAUAUUCCCAAAAGUUCCCGUGAAAAUGCUCCCUCCAUCUCACUGGAUUGCAGAGAACUCAACAGGCUUCAGUGUGGGCUUCGUGGGUUUGGUUCACUGUGGAAUUCUUUUUCUUCUCAUAUCUCAUAUGGAAGUGAUUGUCACUGCUUAUUUGAAUAAUCUUGAAGGAAUGAUGGGAAUCACAGCCUGGUGUCAGGACACAAGUCAGGAAUCUUAGGAGGAUUUUGGUCUUACUUCCUCAUCGCUUGGGAUGUGUGCGACAGCAAUAAUGAUCAGUCUCACUGCUGGGAUCCCAGGGAGUCUCAAAGAAGCUCACUUGUCAGACUUCAAGCCUGAGAAUCAGUUUUUUGUCUCUUAGUUUUAAUCUUUGACCCCACACCUCAGCUGUGUGGGCCUCUACUGUGUUUCUCAUGGAACCAGGAGACAAAAUUGUUACCCCCAAUAUUGCUGCGGUUUCAGUAAAACAGAUGAUGACUGACUGCCAGGUGUUCAUGAAGUGGAGGGAGACUGAGUCAGAGCAGUCAGGACCCCAGUCCUGAGGGGAUGGACAAAUGUGGAGAUGAGCAAGUGAGUGACCAAACCUCAGGGUGCUAUGGCUUUGAUCUUUGUCUCCUCCAAAUCUUAUGUUGAAGCUGGAUCCCCAGUGUUGGAGGUGGGAACUAAUGGGAGCUUUUAGGGUGAUGGGAGUGGAUCUCUCAUGAAUAGUUUAAUGCCCUCACUUGGGGUGAGUGAAUUCCCACUGUUUUCACAAGAGCUAGUUAUUUAAAAGAGCCUGGCAUCUUCCCCUUCUCUCUUGCUUCCUCUCCCCCCAUUGACGUCAGCACACACUGGCUCCCCUUCACCUUUCACCGUGACGGAAAUUGCCUGAGGUCUUCAGCAAGAGCAGGUGCCACACCUUGAACUUUACAGCCAUUGGAACUGUGAGCCAAAUAAACCUUUUAUUUUCUCUAUAAAUUACCCAGUCUUGGGUACUUCUUUAUAGUAACAGAAAAAGAUCUAAGACACAAGGGGAGGAGUGAGAAGUGACCUGUGCUUCUGCAAUGUGCUCUCCUUGUGUGAGUCUCCUCUGAGGCUUGAGUGAGCUGGGUGAAUAAGAGCUAAGCCACUCAAAGUGUGGUGCUUGGAGGACCAGCAGCAUCAGCCUCACCUGGGAGUUGCUGGACACAGAGAAUUUGGGGCCACAUCCAGAACUGUUGAGGCUGCAUCUGUACCUUAACCAGACCCCUCAGGGGCUUGUAUGUCCACUAGAAUCUCUGCUCUAAGCCACAAUGAAAAAUCUCACUUCCUCUACUUUUGACAACAAGCCCUUGUCUCCCCAAGUCCUUCUGAGGCCACCUGGGUCUGGUGCUUAAGAGGCCUGGACUCAUCAAACUGAGUUGGAUUCACAUGCUUGACCCUGUCAUGAUAUGCAAAAAAAAAAAAAAAUUAAAAAUGGGCAUUUUUACAAUUCACAUGGGUGGUGUGUUGGGGAGGAGAAAAUAUUUUAAUGAGAUAUCCAGAGAGAAAUACAUGGCUUAUGCCAUUUUUUUUUUGUUCUCACUCAUCUCCAGUAAGUCUUAUUUCUCAGACAUAUUAUGUUCUGUUCUGUGUUCCAACCGCCAUGUUUUUUUCUCUUUGAAAGCUUUCCUGUGUUUAUCCCUAUUCUUCACCAAAAACCAGCCUAAAUGCUACCUAUCCUAUCAGUUCCCCGUACUCACCAUUUGUCAAGGAAGUGGUCUCUGACCAUUAGAACAUUUGGAAAUGCAGAAUA
Long non-coding RNA from Rhinopithecus roxellana (golden snub-nosed monkey), 11142 nucleotides. RefSeq lists it as uncharacterized. The record is from RefSeq and is a predicted model, not a curated record. Lineage: Eukaryota; Metazoa; Chordata; Mammalia; Primates; Cercopithecidae. The transcript has 7 exons.